RNAcentral lists this transfer RNA (70 nucleotides) under Eupleres goudotii (falanouc). Its description in RNAcentral is "tRNA-Thr". Lineage: Eukaryota; Metazoa; Chordata; Mammalia; Carnivora; Eupleridae. The record is from RNAcentral.
GUCUUUGUAGUAUAUAAAAUACCCUGGUCUUGUAAACCAAAGAUGGAGAAUAACCACCCUCCCUAAGACU